UUAAUAAUUUUCAAUUAUGUUGUGUUGUCAUGCCUAUAUAUAAUAGGGUGACGUGGGAUCACCCCCGGGUAUGUGCGUUGAGAGGUGGAAUAGAGAUUUGAAGGUUUAUGAACAACUCUUGGCACAUUCGAGGACGAACGUAUGUUUAAGUGGGGGAGAAUGUAACGAUCCGACCGAUAGUUUUGAGUAUUUAUACUCUUUUCAACUAUUUGAAGUCUUGAAUAGAUUCAUAUGAUGUAUUAUAGCGUGUGUGAAUUUGUUGGUGUUGAUUUUCAAGUGUUUCACGAUUAGUUCAGAAGAAUAAAUUUUAUGUUAGAAGCUUAACUGAGAAGGGUUGACCGGAGUUUGACUUUCGUAUAAACGACCCCGCAAUAGAAUUUUGAUGAUUUCAAUAGUUCCGUAUGGUGAUUUUGGACUUAAGAGCAUGUCCGAAAUUUUUUUUGAAAGCCCGUAGUUAAAUUAGUCUUGAAAUGACGAAAGUUAAAUUUUUGGGAAGUUUGACCGGGGAGUUGACUUUUUGAUAUCAGGGUCAGAAUCCAGUUCUAAAAAUUUUCAUAGUUCCGUUAUGUCAUUUAUGACUUGUGUGCAAAUUUUGAGGUCAAUCGGAAUUGAUUUGAUAGGUUUCGACAUCAAAUGUAGAAGUUGAAAAUUCUUAAGUACCUUAAUUUUGAAUUGGGGUAUGAUUCGUGGUUCUAGCAUUGUUUGAUAUAAUUUGAAGUUUCGACUAAGUUCAUAUGAUAUUUUAGGACUUGUUGGUAUGAUUUGACGGGCCCCGAGGGGUUUAUUUGUAUUUUUGGAUCAUUGUUGAGAGAACAGUAAAGUUAAAAAAUUUGAGAGUUUGACCAUGGUCAAUAUCGGGUCAAGAUGAUCUCUUUUUAGUGUUUUGAGUGUGCGAGUAGGUCUGCAGCAUGUUUUAUGAUUGAUAUAAAUAUAUGGUUUGUGUCCGGGAGAUUCCGGAUGAGUUCCAGGGUAGUUUCAGAUUAUUUCGGAGAAGUUUGAGUUUGCUAGUUUCUGGUGGGCUACUAUUCAUUCGCAAUUGUGAACCAUUUAUCACAAUCACGAAAGUACUGUUCAUUCGUAAUUGCGAACCAUUUGUCGUAAUUGCGAAAACACUGUUCAUUCACAAUUGCGAACUAUUUAUGGAAAUUGCGAAAAUACUGUUCAUUCGUAAUUGUGAACCAUUUGUCGCAAUUGCGAAAACACUGUUCAUGGGAGGCACUGUUCAUUCGCAAAUGCGAAACUGGAUAGAAUGUUUAAGAUCUGAAAAUGGGACUUCGUCUCAUUUUCUAUUUUUACCGAUUUGGAGAUCGGAUUGAGGUAAUUUUUGAAAGAUUUUCAGAAAAAAUAUUGGGGUAAGUGUUCUUAACUCAAUUUGGUUAGAUUACCCGAAUCCAUCACAAUUUUUAUCAUUUAAUUAGUAAAUUAAGUUGGAAAAGUUUGAAAACCCUCUUGGAUAAAUUUGAGAAUUUGAGGGCCGAAUUAUUUUCAGAAUUUAGUAAUUUUGGUAUGGUUAGACUCGUGGUUGAAUGGGCGUUCAUAUUUCAUAACUUUUGCCAGAUUCUAAGACGUGGGCCUCACUAGCGAUUUUUAGCUAAAUUUCGGAUUUUUAUGAAAAUGGUUACAUUUUCUUAUGAAAUUAAUUUCAAUAAAUUUUAUUGACUGAAUCGAAUUAUUUGAGGCUAGAUUCGAGGCAUUUGGAGGCCAAUUCAUGAGGCAAAGGCUUAGAAUUUCACGGUUUGAGGUAAGUAACAGUUUUAAAUCUGGUCCUGAGGGUAUGAAACCCCAGAUUUAUUGUAUUAUGUGAGUAUUUUGGAGGUGACGCACAUGCUAGGUGAUGGGCGUGCACCGCAAAAAUUGGGACUUGGCCCAUUCCGUGAAACUGAAAAGUUGAAUAAGCUUGUUGUUAGCUAUGUGCCCUUUUUGUGCUAUAGAAAUUUGACACUAAAUCAUGCUUAGACUAUGCGUUGGUGCUGUAAAGACCCCAGUGGUCGUAAUACUUGUUGAACCUUCCUGCUUACUGUUACUUGUACUCAGUCGUUGUAUUACUUGCAUAUUUUACCUAAGUCUCUGUUAUUCCCUCCUGAUACAUUAUAUCAUACUGUUUUGGGCUGAUUCACCUUUAUUACUAAGGGCCGUGAGACUAGCGAGGUUAAUGACUGAGUGAGGCCGAGUGCUUGUUUGUGAGGUAUUGAUACCAUAACACGUGAGUGGUCCGUGCGGAUCCAGAUAUUAUACUAUAGCAUGUGAGUUGUUCGUGCAACACGUGAGUUAUCCAUGCGGAUUCAGAUAUUAUACUAUAGCACGUGAGUUAUCCGUGCGGAUCCAGAUAUUGAUUCUAUAGCACGUGAGUUGUCCGUGCGAAUUAUAGCGCUUGGGCUGUAGGAGUCCCUCCGGAGUCUAUACACCCCUAGUGUGCACAAAUACCUAUUGAGCUGAGUGAUUGAGCUGUUGUGAUGAGUUGGGUGAUUGUUGCCUUGAGAGGAUGUACUUGCUUUUCAUUUGUUGUUGCACUUAGUUGCUAUCUGUCAUUGUUGUGAAAUCUCUGAAAGAUUUUUAUAUCCGAAUUACAUGAACUUGAACUGUAUAAAAUUAAUUUGACUUAACCUGCCGGAUUUGAAAGCAUGUCUAUUCUUUGCUGGAAUUACAGAAAAAUAAACUAUAACUGUGUAGCUCGUCUCAGUUCUUUAUUUAUUAUUGUUACUUACUGAUUUGGUUGUACUCAUACCACACCUUGCACUUCGUGUGCAGAUCCAGGUGUUUCCGGAUAUAGCGGGUGUUAAUUCUUUCGCCCAGUUGAUUUUCUGGAGAUUCAGAGGUAGCUGCCGUGUUUCGCAGACCUUGCCUCUCCUUCUCUAUCUCUUUUGCUUACUUAUUUGGUCUCAGACUAUUAUGGACCGUAUUUUUCAGACUUGUAUUCAUAUUAGAUGCUCAUGUACUCAUUGACACCGGGUUUUGAGAGUAUUUAUAUUUGUACUUGUGAGGUUUUUCCGCUGAAUUUAAUCAUUACGUUUUCAAAUUUAAAAGAUAUGUGAUUUAUUGAGAUUGUUGGCUUGCCUAGUAUUGAUAUAUGUGUCAUCACGAAAGGUGAGAUUUUGGGCUGUGACAUGUUGGUAUCAGAGCCUAGGUUACAUAGGUCUCGCGAGUCAUGAGCAGGUUUAGUAGAGUCUUGCGGAUUAGUACGGAAACGUCUGUAUUUAUCUUCGAGAGUGUAUUUUAUCGUGCAGAAUUCAUUCAGCUUGAAACAUAACUCUUUGAAUUCCUUCAACGCAUUUGUGUGCGCAUGUGUGUGCUCGAUAUUAGUUGUGCAUCACCAGCUUGUGAUUCCAUGAACGAUUUUCGUGAUAUGUAUUCUGUGUUUUGGUGAUGGGCCAGUCUGGAGGACUUAAGGCCAGGGUUAGACCGCAGCUUAAGCUCGGUAGCUUCAAUUGUGUGAACUUGUACAUAUGGACUCAUAUUUCCAGUAGUGUUCCUAUGAGUGGAAUUUAUGGCCCGAUGAGCAGUUGAAUGGCUAUAUGAUAAGUAUUAUGUGAUUGCAGGAUGUGUUCAGAUGGGUUGAAUAUGACGAAUAAAGUUUACUUGUGACUCAAGAGUUUGCUAUUGUGUACUUGAUUUCUAUUAUUUGACAUAUAGUCUCGAAUUAUGAGUAUAUUGAAGGAUGUUUCACGUCAUUAAAUUGUGGGACAAAUUAAAUUCUCAUGUCUUGUUAAUAAGUUUGGACUCAGAAAGAUUUAGUGAUUGUGUAGUAAUUGUGGCUGCCAAAGGGUAUAACAAGAUGCCAAUUUGAGGCUAAGCAGGUGAGUUAUAAUGUUGAGUGGAGAGUUUCUUUUCUACCAGCGGAGUGUAUGUGUUGAGAUUUGAAUUUGAAUUUGGUUGAGAAAGUUGACUUCACUGUCACGAGAAUGAAGGCGAGCUUAGAAGAUGAAUUGAGGUAUUUUAUGGUUUGUGUUACCUGAGCUUGUGAAGAAUUUUUGUUGAACCGACUGCAGUAUUAUGGCAGUAAUAAAGUAUGGAUAUUGUGAGUUAUGGAAUAUUUUGUUCUAUGGCUUUGAGCCAAGUGGGGGAGCCUGCUAUUGACGAUUUGAUUUCAUGGUUGUGUAUUGUACUGGUUUCGGUUUAAGGCAUACAUAUGAUUCAAUUAUGACUUGCAAAGAUUGAUAUCGAGGAUGACUCAAGUAAGGGAAUUCCCGGAUAUAGGUUAUAUUGCACUUUAUGAGUAUAUUGAAAUUAUGGGAUGAGUGAGUUGUUAUUGUGAAGGAUGCAGUACGAACGGAGUAUGAAUUUGAUCGAUGGUGUUAAGGCAGGGUUACUUCUUUGGGUGUUGUUGUGCUAAGGGGGCAUGUGUCUUUCGGCCCGUUUGGGUGGUACAAUUUGGAUUUGAGGAAAGUGAGCGACUCUCGAGAGGGUUCUACUGGAUUCAAAAUAUAUAUGUGGCAAUUGAAAAUUUUUCGGAUUCGUAUAUCGCUAGAAUCAGUUAUUUACAUUGGAUGGUAUCGGGACUCGUGGUAAGUCUAUAUGGCUAUGGAUUAUAUAUUUCAGUAUAAAAAAGAAAGAGAAAUAAUUUUAAAAUUCACAUAAGGUCCUUCAGAGUGGGUGUCUCGGUUGUCAUACUUUGUGGUUCUUAAGAAGAAUACAGUGGCUUAUGGGCCUGAGGGCGGUGUAUUUUUAUGUUAGAAUGUCUUGUAGUGAGAUUUGGGUAAGGAUCAUAGUGUUCUAACAAAGAGAAGUUUCAACUUAAGAGUUAUUCAGAAGAAACUCAGAGAAAAUAGGAUAACUGGAUAGUAGGCUAGACCAACAUGGUAAUGGUAUGCUGGGUUAUUUUGGGUAAUUAUGAUGUGGUGAGACUUUACAGAUGUUUUGGUGGCAAUAUUCUUAGGUUUGGUGACCUGUGUGGCUUGGUCGAGUUAGAGGGGUUCAGUUCUGAUAGCUUGGUUAUGUACAAAUAGAUUUUAAAGUGUUCUUGGUGGUUUCUACUAGGGGUUGAACUGGAUAUUUUCUACCGGUGUGAGGAACAUAUUGUGUAUUGUGACUUUCUCCUGGAUGGGAGCAAAUGAAAGGUUUCUAACGAACCGGGUAUGUAAUUUGUUGGUGACUCAUAGUUGAUAAUGAGAUUAUCGUACUUUUCACAUGAUAGAUGUGGUGUGUUGUGCUGGAUUAAGAUUUCCAUGUAAAAGAUAACAGCUCAGUCUUGAAGGAAAGGUCACGAAUUUUGGACAGAAUGGCUAGUUUCAGAUAUUUAGAUGAAUGAUAUAACUGGUCGGCAAUCCCAGAUAAGGGUGCACAUUUCAGAAGGCGCAAUGUGUUUUGAUUUACGGAUGUUCAUUGGUAUUGCGGUACUCACCUGGUUGAUAGACUAUCGAUAUUCAAAUUAUUGCUAUGUGGCACGGAAGAAUUAUGAAAGUAUUCCUCAUGGUAAGAUCGUGAAUGGAAGAUGUGCUAGUCAUUCUAGUGCUGGAGUUGGGAUCAGUUACGGUGAUUCAUGUGUUUGAUGAAUUUGGAGACUGAGAGUUCUUAGAAGUAUAUUGUUUCGGGUUGCGACCUGUUUGAGGUGAGUAUUUUAUUUCAACUCAGUGGAGGCACUAGUUGCGUUAAUUAUUUGUGGUAGCUACGCGCUAUAAGUGUGCAUAUAUGUGAGGUGAGCCAAUGUGCGGGCAUCAGGGCAAGUAUUCAUACUCGAAAAAAUAGUUAGGCUAUGAUAUGCCUAAAGUUAAUUGUUAAGCGUAAAUUUAUAACGUUUCUCGUGUUCGUACCUUUGUUGAGAACUAUCUGGGCUAUAUUUGAGGUUACAAAGAGGCUAAUUCCCCCGAAUAAAUGGGGUAGUUACUAUUUAUGCGUUAACUUGCCGAUUUGAAGUGUGAUAGCAGACUUUGCACAUGCUUACGCUAUGGCGUGUUAUUUAUACCAAUCCAGGAGCAUGAGAAACUUAUUUCAUUAUCAUAUACAUGUGUACUUGUUUAAUUUCUCCUGUAUGAUAUGUUGGGACUGGAGGCCUGUAACCAUGCCAAGCGAUUUAUAUUAUUGGCACGCGAGUUGUCUGUGCCGUGUGUGGGAAUUCUAUUUCUAUGAUAAUUUAUCUGAUUUAUUAAUUUCCUUCCUCUACAAUUGUGCACAUACGCCUACAGUUAUCCUCUUCACGAAAUCUGAGGAGUUGGUUGUAACAUUGUGGUUGUGGUGGUGCUUGUUGAACUUGUAAUACGGUUCUCUUCCUUGAGACAUCUCCCAUAUUUGGGUACACGGAUUGCGCAGUUGUGGCUUGAGUUAUAUUGAUGUGGCGUGUAUGUGAGACAGUUAUGUUUAAUAAUAUAAGGUUAUUGGACCUAGAAUGGGUACUAUCAGGUUUGAUUACAAUAUAUUCGGGAGGAUAAUAUUGAAAGUCUGCUUAGAAGGUGAUUAUGGUUCUGGUCAGGGCGAGAGAGCUCCAUGGCUAGUUGAUAUGAUGAGUGGUUAUGAGUUUUGAUUGUUUAUUUCAUCAUUGGCAGUGUACAAAAGUUUUAGAAUGAGGUUCUAUUGAAUGUGUGGUUUUAUACUAGUACUUGGUUGGUUUUGAGUAGUUACUGUGAUCGGGAAUGGUGCUGCGAGUAUGCGAAUUGUGUAAUAUGUUAUGUGAUUAUAUCUGGCAUUAUGGUUAUGGUUCGAUGCAGCUUGUUCAUAUGUGAGAUUCGUGUCUUGAAAAGAAUUCUAGAUGUUAAAAAUUGGGCUCCCAGGGUUUUUGGGUUAAGGUUAAAUUAAUAAUUUUCAAUUAUGUUGUGUUGUCAUGCCUAUAUAUAAUAGGGUGACGUGGGAUCACCCCCGGGUAUGUGCGUUGAGAGGUGGAAUAGAGAUUUGAAGGUUUAUGAACAACUCUUGGCACAUUCGAGGACGAACGUAUGUUUAAGUGGGGGAGAAUGUAACGAUCCGACCGAUAGUUUUGAGUAUUUAUACUCUUUUCAACUAUUUGAAGUCUUGAAUAGAUUCAUAUGAUGUAUUAUGGCGUG
Molecule: long non-coding RNA, 6971 nt
Filed under: Nicotiana tabacum (common tobacco)
Lineage: Eukaryota; Viridiplantae; Streptophyta; Magnoliopsida; Solanales; Solanaceae
Description: long non-coding RNA (NTAB_LNC008698)
Source: RNAcentral